UACGUAGGGUGCAAGCGUUAAUCGGAAUUACUGGGCGUAAAGCGUGCGCAGGCGGUGAUGUAAGACAGAUGUGAAAUCCCCGGGCUUAACCCUGGGAACUGCAUUUGUGACUGCAUCGCUGGAGUGCGGCAGAGGGGGAUGGAAUUCCGCGUGUAGCAGUGAAAUGCGUAGAUAAUGCGGAGGAACACCGAUGGCGAAGGCAAUCCCUGGCCGCACUGGAC
RNAcentral lists this ribosomal RNA (221 nucleotides) under uncultured bacterium. Its description in RNAcentral is "partial 16S ribosomal RNA". It matches the Rfam family "Bacterial small subunit ribosomal RNA", at positions 524 to 744 of the family's 1533-position model. The record is from RNAcentral.